RNAcentral lists this ribosomal RNA (464 nucleotides) under uncultured bacterium. Its description in RNAcentral is "partial 16S ribosomal RNA". It matches the Rfam family "Bacterial small subunit ribosomal RNA", at positions 28 to 507 of the family's 1533-position model. The record is from RNAcentral.
GACGAACGCUGGCGGCGUGCCUAACACAUGCAAGUCGAGCGAAUGAAGUUCCUUCGGGAGUGGAUUUAGCGGCGGACGGGUGAGUAACACGUUGGCAACCUGCCUCAUAGAGGGGAAUAGCCUUCCGAAAGGGAGAUUAAUACCGCAUAAGAUUGUAGUAUCGCAUGAUACAGCAAUUAAAGGAGCAAUCCGCUAUGAGAUGGGCCCGCGGCGCAUUAGCUAGUUGGUGAGGUAACGGCUCACCAAGGCGACGAUGCGUAGCCGACCUGAGAGGGUGAUCGGCCACAUUGGGACUGAGACACGGCCCAGACUCCUACGGGAGGCAGCAGUGGGGAAUAUUGCACAAUGGGGGAAACCCUGAUGCAGCAACGCCGCGUGAGUGAUGAAGGCCUUAGGGUUGUAAAGCUCUGUCUUCAGGGACGAUAAUGACGGUACCUGAGGAGGAAGCCACGGCUAACUACGUG